CCUACGGGUGGCAGCAGUGGGGAAUAUUGGUCAAUGGACGCAAGUCUGAACCAGCCAUGCCGCGUGCAGGAUGACGGCUCUAUGAUUUGUAAACAGCUUUUGUACGAAGGUAGGCGCCGAUACGUAUAUCGGGUUGAAAGUAUCGUACGAGUAAGGGUCGGCUAACUCCGUGCCAGCAGCCGCGGUAAUACGGAGGAUCCGGGCGUUAUCCGGAUUUAUUGGGUUUAAAGGGUGCGCAGGCGGUUUGGCAUGUUAGAGGUGAAAUGUCGGGGCUCAACCCCGAAACUGCCUCUAAUACUGUUGGACUAGAGAAUAGUUGCGGUAGGCAGAAUGUAUGGUGUAGCGGUGAAAUGCUUAGAGAUCAUACAGAAUACCGAUUGCGAAGGCAGCUUACCAAACUAUAUCUGACGUUGAGGCACGAAAGCGUGGGUAGCAAACAGGAUUAGAUACCCGUGUAGUC
RNAcentral lists this ribosomal RNA (460 nucleotides) under uncultured bacterium. RNAcentral's name for it is "partial 16S ribosomal RNA". It matches the Rfam family "Bacterial small subunit ribosomal RNA", at positions 338 to 795 of the family's 1533-position model. The record is from RNAcentral.